GUGUAGCGGGCCUUAAGCAUUGAGUGUCACCCCCCUGCUCCUCCGCAGCUUCUGCAGUGUUGACACAUGCCGUAUUAGUCUACUGUAUGUCGAUUUUACUGGCAAAAGCUCCAAAAAGCCUAAUGACAGGUAUGUCACUUAUAGAAAAGUGACGGUUUUCUUCCAGACAAAAAACCGUUGAACCCUUUUUUACGGUUGAUCGUGUUGGAGUUAAAUAGUAUAAACGCAAAGCUACGUCAGUCAAUCUUCGAAUUAGAAAACCGUUGCAGCGAAGCACAACAUAUAAUAACAAUUAAAUCAAAGAACGCCAAAAAGAAAAGAAUAGACUAUCAAGUAGGUAGGUAUAGGUGUGUGACAAUGCCAGAGAGCGAGGCAGUUUAUCAACCAACAACAGAAGGUUACACUUACGAGGCUGGUGGGAAUACCAAUGACCCGGGAAAUGGCUUCAGAAGUGGUUUUUCAAGAAUAUUAUUUCGACACAAAGUCAGCACAAGAAAAUGGGCUGAAUGGGUCUUACUAUCAGUUGCAAUCUGUGCAUCCGUUGCAGGCUUAACAACUCUUCUGGUCAAUCUUUUUGCUGCAGAUGCAAAUGAUAUCACAUAUGCAGAUUUUAAACCAGGAAAUUCAACCAGGAGUACCAAGGUUGAAGGGCAUAUGGAAAAUGGAAGUAGAGGAUCGAUUGCCGUUGGAGCUACUAUCACAUUGAUCGGCUUAUUACUUGGAUGCAGCUGGGCAUGGCUCCGCUUUUUCAAGCGUAGCAAAUCACCCAGAGGGGGAAUGAAUAGAGGCAGUGGCCAGAGAAGCGUCGGGUGUCUUGUGGAGGAUGAUGGUGGACAUAGCAUUCGUGAAACAAACAACAAUGAACGGGAAACGUGUAAACAACUUUGGUCGAGAAAUACGUUCACCAAAGAUUUCGAGCUUUUGCUUUUCGGUCGACGGAACAAGGCAACCAUGGUGGGAUACGCCAACCACAGCAUCGGCAGAGUAAAAGGUUAACGCAGCACGGGCGUCUGUGAGGAAACGGAGAUCAAUGCUUACAUCAAUGUAUUCGCGUAUGCCAAACAAUUUGAUUUGAUGGAUGACGAGGACAAAUUUAGCUUCAGCAUAUUCUCAAGUGCGCCUCCCAUUUCACUUGAGCAGAAUUGGAGCCUUCUGAUUAAUCUUCAAAAUCCAGGCGAAUUAAGAUAAGCAUGCGUCGACUCCGCCAUAGUAGAAAAACCUGCCAUGCCGUCAAUAAUUUCAUUAGGACUCUUGGAGCAUUUGAACUUGUAAGAUUUGUCAAGGAUAGCAAAAAAUUGACGCUCACAAGGUUUUCUCCUGCAAAAAAGUAUCAGAACGCGAGGCCAGCUCUGCACAGUUCUACACCGGAGAAUCUUCCAGGCAGAGUCAGAUCUCUCACAACUGAGCAUUUAUUACACAUAACAAAGUACACGACGUUUAUAAAAAAAAGUGAACGGCACAAGCACAACAUUUAUGCAGUUGACGUGUUCGAAUUCGUAAGCCCCCGCUUGCUAGUCAAAAUUCUGGGAGAGUUUUGUGAAUCACCAUGACAAAUGAGCCGAGAUUGUGACAAGUGAAUUCACAAUGGAAUCAAAAAUUGACUGCGGCAUUACAGGACAAAUAAAUGAUGUUCAACUGAUGAACAAUGAGAUGUCUUCAGCUGUUAAAUUAAUGAAAUUAUGCAGAAAUGAAUAUUCGUUUUAAUUUAAUUAAUAAAUGCAUUGUAUGAUUUAUAA
This 1736-nucleotide unclassified non-coding RNA is filed under the name Venturia canescens. RNAcentral's name for it is "uncharacterized LOC122418872, transcript variant X3". Lineage: Eukaryota; Metazoa; Arthropoda; Insecta; Hymenoptera; Ichneumonidae. The record is from RNAcentral.